CCACUGACCAGAACGGAACCAGCACUGUUGAACUGGCUGCUUGGAGAGCCACUCAAAUCUACAUCUGCAGGAACAUUAUUAAGUUUUGAGCAACUGGAGAUCGCUCGCAUGGAAUGGCACGUUUGAAUUGGGUAAAUGAGCUCAAUCCAGCUGCAGGAUGGUCAUAACAGAUAGUAGCAUUUUUUUGCCGUUUGAGAAACUGCACCUAAGACCGUCAAGUAGACAGGAAUAUUCAUAAAAGAAACAGAGGCCAAACAUGGGCAAAAGGAGUUGGCCAUGGUCAGCAUGGAUGAAUUAGGCCUAAGGACCAGUUUCCAUGACUAAAAGGGUGAAGUGUACGGAAAUGGAAGCUGUCAACUUAUCUAAAUCAGGAUAACACACAACUCAGAGAACCUGGAACACCCGGAUUAUAAAUCUACACCCAUUAAUUAAACUUUAGGUUGAGAUUAAGGCAGGUUUGUACCAGUUUUAGAGCAGCUGCUUGGAUUUGGAUCAAUAAUUGAGCAGGGCAAAGAAAAGUUAACUGUGGUAAUCACUGAUGAUUUAUUAGACAAUACUUAAAUAAUCUACAUAUGCAUCAAGGAACUGAACUAUAAAUUUAAAUAGACUGUUACAUGCACACAGAAACAGUUUGACAAUAGAAUUAAAUAAAAAUCAUAAAAAACCUUGAUUUUCCAAUAAUUUUGCCAAUAAUGUAAAUUAUUCUCACGAUGUUUGUAAUAGUUCUCUUAUUAUUUAUUAUUUUAUUAUUCAUAUUGUUGUUUAUUCUACCAGGCAGUUAACUUUGCUAAGAUGGAUCCAAUAUCUGCUUUCUAGAUCAAAUCAAAUUUAACAGUUUUCUUUUGUGCAAUAAGCAUUAAACUAUUUAAUAUGCCAGCUUUAUGAUACCUAUGCAUUUACUCAAAGUAAAUUUAUUAGUAAAUUAAUCAUUUAUUAAUAAAAAAGACUUAUUUUCUU
This is a long non-coding RNA of Hypanus sabinus (Atlantic stingray), 957 nucleotides long. RefSeq lists it as uncharacterized. The record is from RefSeq and is a predicted model, not a curated record. Lineage: Eukaryota; Metazoa; Chordata; Chondrichthyes; Myliobatiformes; Dasyatidae. The transcript has 5 exons.